Molecule: long non-coding RNA, 471 nt
Organism: Brienomyrus brachyistius
Lineage: Eukaryota; Metazoa; Chordata; Actinopteri; Osteoglossiformes; Mormyridae
Exons: 2
Source: RefSeq, a predicted model, not a curated record
CUCCAGUUUUUCGUAAACUAUUUCACGAGAUCGGAUGAUCUGCACGAGGAGAUCGGCAUAUUUUGGCAGCCCCGUGUUUCAGACGUGUUCAGAAACGUUACAGAAGGCGACAUGUGUUUGUCAUCAUCAGAGGCUGAAUAGGUCAAUGAGGACCACGUGAACAUUAUACGGCAAUUCUCCUUUCGACGAAAGCAGCACUUUAGAGAGAAGGCCCCUCGCACAAUGGCAGUCGUAAGCAAAGUGAGUGCACUUCACGUCUAGAACACGGCACGGGGACUUUCUCCCGCAUUCGGUUUGGAAUGCUAAAUCAAGUCGAGGUUUUUCUUUUUUUUUUGCAUUUACACAUCAGACGACAUACAUAAACCGCAAACGUCUCACAAAGUGUCAUCUUUCAGAUUAAAUACCGCCCACCCCACCCAACAUGGUCAAACCAAUCAGAAAGCACGGGCCGCACGUCUCAUCGUCAAACAA